ACUUGAACUUCGGUUUGGGUGGCGGACGGGUGAGUAACGCGUAAAGAACUUGCCUCACAGUUAGGGACAACAUUUGGAAACGAAUGCUAAUACCUGAUAUUAUGAUUUUAGGGCAUCCUAAGAUUAUGAAAGCUAUAUGCGCUGUGAGAGAGCUUUGCGUCCCAUUAGCUAGUUGGAGAGGUAACGGCUCACCAAGGCGAUGAUGGGUAGCCGGCCUGAGAGGGUGAACGGCCACAAGGGGACUGAGACACGGCCCUUACUCCUACGGGAGGCAGCAGUGGGGAAUAUUGGACAAUGGACCAAAAGUCUGAUCCAGCAAUUCUGUGUGCACGAUGACGUUUUUCGGAAUGUAAAGUGCUUUCAGUUGGGAAGAAAAAAAUGACGGUACCAACAGAGGAAGUGACGGCUAAAUACGUGCCAGCAGCCGCGGUAAUACGUAUGUCACAAGCGUUAUCCGGAUUUAUUGGGCGUAAAGCGCGUCUAGGUGGUUAUGUAAGUCUGAUGUGAAAAUGCAGGGCUCAACUCUGUAUUGCGUUGGAAACUGCAUGACUAGAGUACUGGAGAGGUAAGCGGAACUACAAGUGUAGAGGUGAAAUUCGUAGAUAUUUGUAGGAAUGCCGAUGGGGAAGCCAGCUUACUGGACAGAUACUGACGCUAAAGCGCGAAAGCGUGGGUAGCAAACAGGAUUAGAUACCCUGGUAGUCCACGCCGUAAACGAUGAUUACUAGGUGUUGGGGGUCGAACCUCAGCGCCCA
This 755-nucleotide ribosomal RNA is filed under the name uncultured Fusobacterium sp. RNAcentral describes it as "bacterial SSU rRNA". It matches the Rfam family "Bacterial small subunit ribosomal RNA", at positions 66 to 849 of the family's 1533-position model. The record is from RNAcentral. Lineage: Bacteria; Fusobacteriati; Fusobacteriota; Fusobacteriia; Fusobacteriales; Fusobacteriaceae.